Long non-coding RNA from Glycine soja, 869 nucleotides. RefSeq lists it as uncharacterized. The transcript has 7 exons. The record is from RefSeq and is a predicted model, not a curated record. Lineage: Eukaryota; Viridiplantae; Streptophyta; Magnoliopsida; Fabales; Fabaceae.
GGUACCCUAGGCCCAUUCAGCACGCGUUCUUUUUUUCUCUGCCCUCUACUCCGUUGUCUUAUGAGUCUUCGCUAGGUUUGUGUCCGUCAACCUUAGUCUCAUUGAAACAUUAUAACCCCCUCAAACACUAUCAUUCACUUAUACCUGCUUAUAAGCUCAGGAGGCAUCGAUUGUCUGUGUUAGCGACUUUCAUACGUCUUAGGUUGUGAUACAGCUCAAUACUUAGCGAGGAUGAAAAAGUUGCAGAAAGUGGUUACUUUAAGCUAGCUUUGUGUGUCUUGAAGUCUUACUUGGAAGGCUCAGAUUUGCUGUAAAUCUCUCCAGUUCCCCAUCAUCAGAAGGUAUAAUUUGUUGGUUUGCUCUAUAGCUAUUUGGGAUACAUGCAGUGGUGGAAUGAAUGGUUACAUAUCCUUAUAUGGUGGAGAACCUUGCCCUCCUAUUUUUAGGUCUCUUAUUGCAAGCAUGGAAGAUAUCAUGGACAAUCAUGUUAUAUGUGCAAUAUAUAGACUCCCAGAUGCACAUAAACAUAUUAGCCGACCACCACAAGGAGUUAAAUUUCUAAAAAAGAUUGUUGAAAUUGGGGAUCUAAAACUUGAACCUGUUUUGUGGCAUGAAGAUUCAGGCAGGAGACACCAUUCUGAAAAUGGGAGGAUUUUUGGAUAAUUUACAAUUUGAUAAAUUCUGUGUUGUUAAAAGAUCGUUAUGGUCAUUUGUGUGUUCAAUUUUUUUAGUAAAAUUAUGUAGUCCUGUAAAUUCUUGCAAAAUCUAUUGUAAAUUGUAGACUUUCUCAUUUAUUAUGUAAAUUCUUAUAUUAUGUAAUUAAAUUAUUUUACAAUUAUUGAAAAUGAUGAUAAUAGUUUUGGUUCAAA